AACGCACCUUGCGCUCCUUGGUAUUCCGAGGAGCAUGCCUGUUUGAGUGUCAUUAAAUUCUCAACCCUUAUUAGCUUUAUGCCGAUAAAGGGCUUGGAUGUGGGGGUAUCUUUUUGCUGGCUUCAUUAGAUGGUCAGCUCCCCUAAAAUGCAUUAGCUGGUGCCCUACGUGGACUGUCUAUUGGUGUGAUAAUUAUCUACGCUGUGGACGUCUACACUUAUAUGGGUUUGCGCUGCUUCUAACUGUCCGUUCAUUCAGACAAUACAUGACCAUUUGACCUCAAAUCAGGUAGGACUACCCGCUGAACUUAA
Molecule: ribosomal RNA, 311 nt
Filed under: uncultured Anamika
Lineage: Eukaryota; Fungi; Basidiomycota; Agaricomycetes; Agaricales; Cortinariaceae
Description: eukaryotic LSU rRNA
Rfam family: 5.8S ribosomal RNA (bases 1-52)
Source: RNAcentral